GCCACACGACAUUGAAACACUGACUCCUGUACAAUCACCAAAGUUAAGCAACAUCGAGCUUGGUUAGUACCUAGAUGGGUGACCAUUUGUGAAUACCAGCUGUUGUA
Molecule: non-coding RNA, 107 nt
Organism: Acanthosepion pharaonis
Lineage: Eukaryota; Metazoa; Mollusca; Cephalopoda; Sepiida; Sepiidae
Source: the annotation of a GenBank genome assembly